ACAGCAGUAGCCGCGGUAAUACGAAGGGUGCAAGCGUUAAUCGGAAUUACUGGGCGUAAAGCGUGCGUAGGCGGUGAGUUAAGUCUGCUGUGAAAUCCCCGGGCUCAACCUGGGAAUGGCAGUGGAUACUGGCUCGCUAGAGUGUGUCAGAGGAUGGUGGAAUUCCCGGUGUAGCGGUGAAAUGCGUAGAGAUCGGGAGGAACAUCAGUGGCGAAGGCGGCUCACUGGCUCGAUACUGACGCUGAGGUGCGAAAGCGUGGGGAGCAAACAGGAUUAGAUACCCGCGUAGUCCCUGUCUCUUAUAC
This 305-nucleotide ribosomal RNA is filed under the name uncultured bacterium. RNAcentral's name for it is "partial 16S ribosomal RNA". It matches the Rfam family "Bacterial small subunit ribosomal RNA", at positions 508 to 807 of the family's 1533-position model. The record is from RNAcentral.